RNAcentral lists this ribosomal RNA (468 nucleotides) under uncultured bacterium. RNAcentral's name for it is "partial 16S ribosomal RNA". It matches the Rfam family "Bacterial small subunit ribosomal RNA", at positions 28 to 507 of the family's 1533-position model. The record is from RNAcentral.
GACGAACGCUGGCGGCGUGCUUAACACAUGCAAGUCGAACGGAAAGGCCCUGCUUUUGUGGGGUGCUCGAGUGGCGAACGGGUGAGUAACACGUGAGUAACCUGCCCUUGACUUUGGGGGAGCUUCAGGAAACUGGGGCUAAUACCGGAUAGGAGCUCCUGCUGCAUGGUGGGGGUUGGAAAAUUUCGGCGGUUGUGGAUGUACUCGCUGCUUAUCAGCUUGUUGGUGAGGUAGUGGCUUCCCAAGGGUUUGACGGGUAGGCGGCCUGGGAGGGUUAACGGGCACCAUAGGCCUGAGAGAGGGAGCAGUAUGCUACGGGACGCAAUAGUCGAGAGCAUUACACAAUGGGCCGGCGUCAGAUGCGGAGGUGUUGGGUGCGGGAUGCUCGGCUACUGGUUAAGAACAGAUUUGGAAUGUACUGAAGACUGAGUGACGGUACCGAGUCAAGAAGCCACGGCUAACUACGUG